Molecule: long non-coding RNA, 245 nt
Filed under: Danio rerio (zebrafish)
Lineage: Eukaryota; Metazoa; Chordata; Actinopteri; Cypriniformes; Danionidae
Description: lncRNA si:dkey-234l24.9p (ENSDARG00000097419.2)
Source: RNAcentral
CUUACUGCCCCUGGUUUGUCCGAGUCAUCACCGCUGUGUUGAUUUACCGCCUCAGGAUGGUCCUUGCCUUUGCCGCUCAGUUGUCUUACCGCCCCAGAUGAGCUUGUGAUUCAUUGAACACAGCUGGCAGAUCCUUUAGGGUUCAUCAGUCCAACUGCUUCUGAGCUGGACCUGAGAGAGACAUCUAGUGCUCAAUGCUGAAAUUACAGCUCAUUCACAAACAAAUGAGUGGAAUAUUGUUGCAG